RNAcentral lists this ribosomal RNA (464 nucleotides) under uncultured bacterium. Its description in RNAcentral is "partial 16S ribosomal RNA". It matches the Rfam family "Bacterial small subunit ribosomal RNA", at positions 339 to 795 of the family's 1533-position model. The record is from RNAcentral.
CUACGGGUGGCAGCAGUGGGGAAUAUUGCACAAUGGGCGCAAGCCUGAUGCAGCCAUGCCGCGUGUAUGAAGAAGGCCUUCGGGUUGUAAAGUACUUUCAGCGGGGAGGAAGGGAGUAAAGUUAAUACCUUUGCUCAUUGACGUUACCCGCAGAAGAAGUACCGGCUAAGUCCGUGCCAGCAGCCGCGGUAAUACGGAGGGUGCAAGCGUUAAUCGGAAUUACUGGGCGUAAAGCGCACGCAGGCGGUUUGUUAAGUCAGAUGUGAAAUCCCCGGGCUCAACCUGGGAACUGCAUCUGAUACUGGCAAGCUUGAGUCUCGUAGAGGGGGGUAGAAUUCCAGGUGUAGCGGUGAAAUGCGUAGAGAUCUGGAGGAAUACCGGUGGCGAAGGCGGCCCCCUGGACGAAGACUGACGCUCAGGUGCGAAAGCGUGGGGAGCAAACAGGAUUAGAUACCCGUGUAGUC